CCUUUGUGCCCCCUCUCUCUUCCACGGCCUCUCUUUAUUGUUACACACAGAGUCAUUGGGGCAGCACACCAUAUGAAUCCAAAGUUACUCACGUGAUUCUUGCCUCUCCAGGUUUUAGAUCUUUCUAAACUAUUUGCUAUUGUUGUGUGAGAACUGAAUCAACUGAUGGAUAUCAAGGUUUGCUGCCUUCAAGUUGUGUUUCCCCAUAAUAAGGGCUCCACUCAGUCAAUUAUUUUUUUAUGGCUGCAGAUUAUGUGGGAUGUUCUGCACAAUCAACUUGGGAAUAAUUAGCAAGUAGUGGUGUCAAUGGCAUCCGUCAGAGCCAUUUUGGUGGCACAUGCACACCACGUUCUGGAAUGUCUCACAAUCAACUUGGGCAGUUGAUGUAGGCUGCCUCAAUUUUCUGUCUGUGUAGCAGCAACAAGUUCAUGAAUCUACUGCUUGUUGCCUUUAUUAUUUUGAUCUAUGAAAAAAGAAAAUUUACCCUGUCAUUUAUGUGUACGUUUCUUCUCUUACUGAUUUUACUUGCUCGACAAAAGUGCAACAAAGCAAUUUUUUAUUCAUAUAGAUAUAUAAAAUGCAUUUUUAUGGUGUCUCUUUCUACAUGAUAUUCUUUGUGUUCCACGAUAACUUUUAGUGAUUUUUGGUGAUGUAUAUGGAUUGCGGCAGAUGAAGGAGGAUGGAGGGAAUGUGGAUACGGCUUGGUUAGCAUCUAUUGAGGAAGUCACUAUGAAACAAGAGGAGAUGGAUAGGACUUUCAGAUCUGGCGUUCUCCCUGUCACUUACUGCCUGAUUUAUACACGGAAAUAAACAGAUAAUUUUACAGUCCGUACAUCGCAGGCCAAUAUAAAAAAGUACUUUUCCACUUCACAAAAUAAUACCUCAAAAGACACAUGUAUGAAGGGUAUACUGUUUUCCCAAUCAAAGUAGGAAACGGACGCGCCAAUGUCAUUGCUCGGCUUAUCAUUGGAGUCGACAACAGAGCUCCCAUCGCAACAAACUGGGCUCAAUUCUUUCGCAUGACAAAUAUGAGAGCAGGAGCACCAUAUGUGUUUGCCUUUGAGGAACUAGCUGGGGAGCUCCAUCUCACUGUACAGACUCCCUCUGAUAGUGGUGUAGGCAGCCACCGGCAUUAUCUGAUAAUAUAGUUUAGGUUCAGGACUUGCGUCAUGUACUGUUUUGUGGCCCGUGAAAUCUGCUUCACAUCACCUUAUUCUUUUUUUUUGCGGGUGAUCACCUUAUUCUUUCUGACUCGACUACUUGGUUGUACGAACUGGAAGUACUCCAAAUGGUCUAAUUGUAGUUUCGUAGGAUUUAUAGUGCCUCUGUGUUGAGAAAAUCAAUUCUAUGUUUCUCGCUUUUACAAAUGUGUGGUAACUAUUACUCAAAUAG
This is an RNA transcript of Triticum aestivum (bread wheat), 1392 nucleotides long. RefSeq lists it as uncharacterized. The transcript is spliced from 3 exons. The record is from RefSeq and is a predicted model, not a curated record. Lineage: Eukaryota; Viridiplantae; Streptophyta; Magnoliopsida; Poales; Poaceae.